CAUUAAGACCUCUUACGUCUGGGCGGCGCGGAGACUACAUUUCCCAGAGGGCCUCGCGCGGCGCGGGCUUGGCGGGGGCGGGGAAAAGGAAGCGCCUCGGAGCCAGUGCGCAGGCGUGAGAGUCCCCGCUGGCUACUUAAGGGAGGCUCGCUCGCUGUUCUUCCUUUCGCGUCUGCGGCGCUCUCUCUUCUUUGUGGUGUGCCGUCUGUUCCUCAUCCGAUGUCGUCUCAACCCUGGAAUCAGAAUUUGCUACUGUACGUGAUUUGCGUGAUCAGACGCUACAGAAUGAAUCUUGGCGGAGGGGUCCCUGCUGGGGCUCCAAGGGAACCACGUGUCGACAGGCAGAACCUUCAGCUUCCUGACGUCUGGAGCUCACUGUUGGCAGCAAACAGGCAUUGAAUGGACCGUGAUGGAUCCAGGACUGGGAGAGAAUUUGACCAGAGCCCUGUGUACAUCAGGGCCUACAUAGGUUGAUGGCUGCCUGAUUUCAGUUUGGUUCAGUUCUGUAAUAGAAAUUUCAGCUGUGGAGUCAGAAUGCAAGGCCUCUUGAGAAAGAUGUACAUUUACUUCUGAGAAAGCAUGAAGAUUUGGGUUGUUGUGUAACCUGAGUGUCCAGAGGUAAAAAGCUUGUGGCUGUUGUGAAAAAUGUAGUGUUAUAGUAAAUUUUGGUUAUUAAGGUUUUAACUUUGUAGCCUUCCUGUCUGGAGAAAUAAAAUCCUUUAAAUGAAAA
Capra hircus (goat) is the source of this 730-nucleotide long non-coding RNA. RefSeq lists it as uncharacterized. The record is from RefSeq and is a predicted model, not a curated record. NCBI's taxonomy places the organism in Eukaryota, Metazoa, Chordata, Mammalia, Artiodactyla, Bovidae. The transcript has 5 exons.